GCAGAGGAAAAGACAGUUUGCCCCAGAACGUCGGGAGGUCAUUCGCGAAGAAAUUAACAAACUCGUCAGUGCUCAAUUCAUUCGGGAGGUCCAAUAUCCCGAUUGGCUUGCCAAUGUUGUUUUAGUAAAGAAGGCCAAUGGUAAGUGGAGGGUCUGCAUUGACUUCACAGAUCUUAACAAAGCAUGUCCAAAGGAUAGUUAUCCCCUACCGCGGAUUGACAACUUGGUGGAUAGCACGUCUGGACAUAAGCUAUACAGCUUCUUGGAUGCAUUUUCUGGUUAUCAUCAAAUCCUCAUGGCCGAGGAAGAUCAAGAAAAGACCUCAUUCAUGGCCGAUUCCGCCAUAUACUGUUAUAAGGUCAUGCCUUUCGGUUUGAAGAAUGCAGGGGCAACAUACCAAAGGCUCAUCAACAAAGUCUUUGCUAACUUGAUUGGAAGGAAUGUGGAGGCGUACGUUGAUGACAUGGUGGUCAAGAGCAAACAGGUGGACCAACAUAUUUCAGAUCUUGAAGAAGUGUUCAACACCUUGCGAAAGUACGGAAUGAAGUUGAACCCCGCAAAAUGUGCAUUUGGCGUGGCCUCGGGCAAGUUCUUGGGCUUUAUGAUCACUCACCGGGGGAUAGAGGCUAACCCUGACAAAAUACAAGCCUUGGCAUCUAUGGAAUCACCAAGGAACAAGAAAGAGGUACAGAGGUUGACUGGUAGGAUAGCAGCCUUGAACAGGUUCAUGUCCCGAGCAUCAGACAGGUGCUAUCCCUUCUUCAAAGUCCUC
Molecule: long non-coding RNA, 772 nt
Filed under: Olea europaea subsp. europaea
Lineage: Eukaryota; Viridiplantae; Streptophyta; Magnoliopsida; Lamiales; Oleaceae
Source: RNAcentral